GCCUGGAUUCCAUCCCCUCUGGACCACCCUGGCUUCUAGAAGGAGGCCUGGGCCCGAUGGUAAGCUUGGGCUUGACCAUCCCCGCGGGCCACAGGGCACAGCCUCCAGUAUUGCUGUGGCCCAGACAUCCCAACCCAGGCUGCCCACUGCACCCCUCUCUUGCCUCUGGCUGAUGGGUCCCGCUGACCAGGCCGGGCCCUUGAUAUCCCCUUCCCCCUGGGAUCAGGCCACCCAGGGCCUUCAUGCUGCCCCCAGAGCACUCUUCCUUGAAGCUUUAGCUAGGUUCCUUCCCCCGGGGCUCUGCUCCCUUUCGCUGUGGGACCACCCCCUGGAAAGGAGACCUUGUAGGGAGAAAAGCUGUGAGCCCCCAGCGGUUAAAGCCCCCCUCUGCCGAGGAGCUCUCCUCAGUGCUGGGGGCUUUAGGUUCAUUGGCUGAUGGAGUCCUCACCACCCUGCCCCAGCUGACAGACGAGGGGACAAGGCUCAGACCAGUGAAGCGUCUUGCUCCAGGUCACACAGGGCAGCAGCACCCCAUCAGGGCCCUGCAGUGCAC
Molecule: long non-coding RNA, 553 nt
Filed under: Equus asinus (donkey)
Lineage: Eukaryota; Metazoa; Chordata; Mammalia; Perissodactyla; Equidae
Description: lncRNA (ENSEASG00005024658.1)
Source: RNAcentral